UGUUGCUCAAGACUGUACUGCUGGGGGUUUUUAUCAACCUCCUGGCAACCUACAUUUGGUUUCUCUUCCUAACUGUUGCUUUUGUGUAGAAUUCUUAUUGACAUUUGUUUUCUUCACUUGGCCUGGUUAGAUUUGGUCAAAUAAAAUAUAGAGGAAAGAAACUGUCUUUGUCCCAGGGACCUUUAGUUUUCCUGAAAUAAUCCUGUCUAAACUCAUGUCCAGCCUUCCUUUCUCCUCCCUGUGUAUAAUCCCUAAAACAGUGUUUCAAGCAAAAGCAAAAUUUGUCUGUCUUGGCUCAGUGCUUCUCUUUAUUUCCUUCUUAUACCUUUAGAGUUAAGGAAGAGUUUGUUAAUCAGAAGGUUAAAAUAGAAA
RNAcentral lists this long non-coding RNA (372 nucleotides) under Bos taurus (domestic cattle). RNAcentral's name for it is "long non-coding RNA NONBTAT025960". Lineage: Eukaryota; Metazoa; Chordata; Mammalia; Artiodactyla; Bovidae. The record is from RNAcentral.